GAUUGCAAAACUGGUUUAUUCAAUCCACAGAGCGAGAAAACACCUUUAAAAACGGGGAUUCUAGAAGAUGAUACGGGACCUUGCUGUCAGCUACGGCACGUGGUGCAACAAAACAGAUCUUCAGGCCCCUCAGGCUGGGUGGAGGCACAGCUCUGGAGCUGCUUGGAGACCCUCAGAUCCCCCAAAGCUGUUUGAAGUCCUCCUCUGUCUGCAUACAGACUGCUUUUUGUCUCAGAAGAUGUCAGGUUCAAACUGAGCCUGCCACCUUCGGUUCUGGGCACAGCAGCCCAAAUUUGCUCAACAGGAACAUCUUUUGGGAAGGCACCUUGACAAUGCCUCCUGGUGAAACUCCAGCUACAACAGCUUUAACAUCUACAACCAAAGUCAGUGUUCAGACGAGUGUUAAUCCACAGCUCCCCAUGGAAGGGGCCAGCUUCACUCCAAAGCUCUCCAAGUGUCCUGGUGCUGCCCCACAGAAGAGGCAGGGGAUCCCUCCUGGAACUGCAGAGCAAAGCCAGGGGAGCAGUCUGCCUUGGGACCCCUUCACUGCCACCCCCUGAGCUGCUUUCAGGGGUAACUAGCCCACAGUGUGGGCUGGUUUGCCCUACCAGGGGCCUCUCCAGGGCCAGUGCAGCCCAGCUCUGGAAUUCCCACCACGAGGAAGAAACUCCAGCUUGUGCAGACAGUGCUGCCAGCCCUUUGCAGCAUCUUCUCCCUGCUGCAGGCAUGGAGGGAAGCAGAGCAGGGCUGGCAUUUCCCUGGCCUGGCAGGGAAGUGGAGCAGCUCUGGGUGACUGCAGUAACGAGGUUCUGCAGUCCAUAACUUUUCACUGUGCAUUUCCUCCCCCAGGAGUCACAGGCUGCUUUAUUGAAAUCACACACAAACAGGUCUCAGUGCGUUUCUUGGCCGUAGAUAUCAGGAAGAAAACCCUCAGAUAACUGUGAAAUGCUCUGGUGGAACCUGCAGAAAAGUGGGCUUUAUCCUGGCUGUGGGACCAGCUGGAGGGUUGAUUUCAGAGGAAUCCUUUAACUCCUCAGCUGCAGAAGAGGAACUCUCACCUGCUCUGUGCUCCUGUCGUGCCAGCGUGGGCUGAGCUGCUCCUGGCACCCUGCUCCCCUCUGCCCGGGCACUCCAGCUCCAGUGGCAGCCAGGACGAGACCUUUACCAGCACCCUGAUCCACAAAACCCUUAUUUUCAUUGUUGGUACGGCUGCAGCCCGUUGACAGAAAUCCCCUAACGCCUGAGGUUGUAAAAAAGGAAUAAUAAAAACAUUUAGCGUAACAAAAAAAAGGCGCUUUGAUGGCGCGUGCCAAGCUGUGACCCGUCACAAACACCAGCACUGCUCCUGCUCCCUCCAACCUUGGGGCCCUCUGCACACUCCCUGGGUCCUGACACCCCCUCAGCUCCCCCUUGCCAGGGGAAUCCUCAGCCAAGCCCUCCCCUGCUCUCACAGGCACCUCAGCUGCGAGGCAGAACUGCACUGGAUGAGGCAGAAGAUGCUCUGCCAGCACCUCGUGCUCUGCACCCUCUGCCCGUGUGAUGCUCUCAUCACUUCAUCGUCACUUCAUCCAAGCUCACUGUUUUUAAGUUGCUGCUCUGCAAAUUAGAUUUGAUCUGCAGUUGUGUCUCCUCUUGGAAUGUUCCAUCAGAGUAUUAUGAAAGUUGGCAUUUUUCUAGGGCAACAAAACCUGCCUUUCAGAAAAUCCCUGAUGAAUAUUUAUGAAAAAAAUAAUAUUUUAAAUUUUAUGACGCCUCUGGAUGGCAGGACAGCUGUAUUGGCAGCCUAACAUGUUUUUUAGAGUUAGAAAUAUAUGGCCAUCUGUUCAGCUCAUAACAUGUGUUAACAGGUAUCUCAAAUUUCAAUUCAAGAAAUAAACAUUUUAAUAAAUAACGUAACAGCAAGAAGCCUGGGUUAACUGAUGGACACCUAGCUGUAGUAGCACCAGCAGCAGCAGCAGCAGCAGUAGUAGUAGUAGGAGUAGUAGUAGUAGUAGUAGUAGUAGUACUCAUUACAGAAAUAUUCAGGUACAAAUUAAAUGGUUAAAUGGGACCUUUAGCUAAAAAGCAUUAAAAAGCUGCAUUUCCUGGAAGCUUGUGACUGAGACUAAAAAAAAAAGACCUGGCAAAAAGAUUUCCAGUUUGUGUUGACAUUUGGAUACAUUUUAGAGCGAUGAGAGGCCUUUAGUAACCAUUUACUCACCGGAGCGUCAUAAACUCCUCCCGUGGUCUUGGUGGGCCAGGGGUGGUCCUUCAGAGAACUUCAGACCCAGCUGGAUUUGGAGUUCAGAGCCCUAACUCUAGAGAAAGAAAAAAAGCCCUUGCAAAAAACAUGAGAUAAGACGAAAUUAAUCUCAAAUUAAUUAAUGAAUUAAUUGUAAUAUGCCCCUGCAGGACAAUAUCCUGCUGAAGCGGUCUCAGAGCAGACACCAGCCAGCUCUGGAUUUGUUCUGGAAGGGGAGUUAGCUCUGGGUGGUUGCACUGGGCAUCCUGGCACAGGUAAACAUGGAAUAAUAAAGCAAAAGUGUGGUUUGGGGUUUUUU
Long non-coding RNA from Parus major (Great Tit), 2540 nucleotides. RefSeq lists it as uncharacterized. The transcript is spliced from 2 exons. Lineage: Eukaryota; Metazoa; Chordata; Aves; Passeriformes; Paridae. The record is from RefSeq and is a predicted model, not a curated record.